This 330-nucleotide unclassified non-coding RNA is filed under the name soil metagenome. Its description in RNAcentral is "partial contains 5.8S ribosomal RNA, internal transcribed spacer 2, and large subunit ribosomal RNA". The stretch from base 1 to 121 matches the Rfam family "5.8S ribosomal RNA", at positions 35 to 154 of the family's 154-position model. The record is from RNAcentral.
GAUGAAGAACGCAGCGAAUUGCGAUAAGUAAUGUGAAUUGCAGAUUUUCAGUGAAUCAUCGAAUCUUUGAACGCACAUUGCGCCCCUUGGUAUUCCGGGGGGCAUGCCUGUUCGAGCGUCAUUACAACCCUCAAGCUCUGCUUGGUCUUGGGCGUCACCGGUCCCCGGUGUGCCUUAAAAUCAGUGGCGGCGCCAUCUGGCUCUAAGCGUAGUACAUACUCUCGCUACAGACGUCCGGUGGAUGCUGGCCAGCAACCCCCAAUUUAUCAAGGUUGACCUCGGAUCAGGUAGGGAUACCCGCUGAACUUAAGCAUAUCAAUAAGCGGAGGA